Molecule: long non-coding RNA, 1594 nt
Organism: Leucoraja erinaceus (little skate)
Lineage: Eukaryota; Metazoa; Chordata; Chondrichthyes; Rajiformes; Rajidae
Exons: 3
Source: RefSeq, a predicted model, not a curated record
AGUUGACCUAAGGUUAGAAGAACCACGAAAUAAUAGUGGAACUGGUGUGAAUCCAUCUUACACACUCAAAAACAAAUGACAUGAAUAGCCUUCACCAAACAAGCACAGCAGAUGCCACGGCUGAUCUUGAAUCCUGCCUUUUUCAGACUAUAGAAGAGGCACCGUCGUUUCUUGCUGAACGCGGCAUCUAAAACCAGCGUCUCUCGAAUCCUUUCCUUUCAAAAUUCAACAUCGUGGAGGGAUUUGAAAUUUACCGAUACAUAUCGCACACAUAAAGCGAGCGCAUUUUGCAUUUCAUUUAGACUUUCUUCGCCGUUUGAGUUAAGUUUGACUUCAUUGUCUGCUGAAAAUGCACUUGCAGUGGGUUUAACGUGGCCUUUUUUUGGAAGCGUUUGGCGGUGCAAGGCGAAGUUUUCCGCUGCCAAAGGUAUAACUUCAUAAAGUCAUCUACCGAUUUGUUGCUGCUGGUUAAGAAGCAAGCUUUUGUCAACAGGGAAGAGUGCCAGAUAUGAUCGCCGUUUAGUCUUCCGCCGUGGGCUGGCUCCACAGAUAACUAUACAACUUUUAUAACUGGACACCAUCUCAAUAUCCAUUUCUCUCCUCAACCUAUUACUCUAUUUUGCAAACUACCACCGCGGCUGGGAGGACGCUCCGUUUCUCAAUGGUGAUCUGAACAUUCCACUUUUUCCACACUCCUCUUUCAAGAUGUACAGACUUUUGCAGCUUUUUGAAACGUAAAUUUUAGUUUGAACUUUUAUAUGAGUGGUAAGAUCUUCGUGUGUCUGUUUGAACAAUAUUGCAAUGUUUCUUGGGUUUUGUCCUUGUGAAACAAUUGAUUUCAUUUCACUGCCGAUAUAACAUUAUCUGAUGUUAAUCUAACCUCAAAAACGUCGACAAUUGGGUACUUUGCAUGGUGUAUUAAGGCGUUGUGUAUCUUAAACAAAUGUGGAUAUGGUACACCUCUGCAUUAUUUAUACUUAGUAACCUAACGAUUACUUGUGAUCACCAGCCCCUCUUUCUCUUCCCAUCUCCCUCUCUCCCCCUCUCCCUCUCCCUCUCUCCCUCUCUCCCUCUCCCUAGCCCCAGCUAGUAUCUAGCUACAUAUGAAUGCCGGAUUGAGGGAAACAUUUCAGAUAUGAUAUGAAAAUGGCCCGACUUACCGCAAUAAUACUGUUGGUCCCCGCUCCAAGAUGUCUUUGCUGACCGGGCUUGUAUAAAGAGCGAAGACUAAGGAGAAAAUAAGCAAAUCUAUGACCUGGGAAAUCGUUACAAAAUCGAAUUUAUUGCACACGACCUCUGAGCAAAUCGACAGACUAUUCAAGCAAUGACAGAAAAAAGUAACAAUAGUGUCAAAAAUCAGGAAAUACAUUUUUCAUGAAUAAUAAUGUAUUAGAAAUAACACCAAACAUGAAUAUUUAGUGAAAAUAUUUAAAAUGUUUUGCCAUGUUCACCCAGUCAGAUUUUAGACUGAGGAUAUAUUUCUGAAAAUAAUAUGUUACUCAUUUGUUAAUCAUUAAAUAUAUUUGUAUACCAUACAUAUUUCCGGGUAUCUGUCCUAAGGUGGUCUUCAUAUUAAAAGUCUGUUACCACAUUA